This 75-nucleotide transfer RNA is filed under the name Sulfurospirillum diekertiae. RNAcentral's name for it is "Sulfurospirillum sp. ACSDCE tRNA-Gln". It matches the Rfam family "tRNA". From Rfam's summary of the family: Transfer RNA (tRNA) molecules are approximately 80 nucleotides in length. Their secondary structure includes four short double-helical elements and three loops (D, anti-codon, and T loops). Further hydrogen bonds mediate the characteristic L-shaped molecular structure. tRNAs have two regions of fundamental functional importance: the anti-codon, which is responsible for specific mRNA codon recognition, and the 3' end, to which the tRNAs corresponding amino acid is attached (by aminoacyl-tRNA synthetases). tRNAs cope with the degeneracy of the genetic code in two manners: having more than one tRNA (with a specific anti-codon) for a particular amino acid; and 'wobble' base-pairing, i.e. permitting non-standard base-pairing at the 3rd anti-codon position. Lineage: Bacteria; Pseudomonadati; Campylobacterota; Epsilonproteobacteria; Campylobacterales; Sulfurospirillaceae. The record is from RNAcentral. RNAcentral also lists the same sequence under 1 other name.
UGGGGAUUCGCCAAGCGGUAAGGCAUCACGUUUUGGUCGUGACAUUCACAGGUUCGAAUCCUGUAUCCCCAUCCA